Molecule: ribosomal RNA, 441 nt
Filed under: uncultured bacterium
Lineage: Bacteria
Description: bacterial SSU rRNA
Rfam family: Bacterial small subunit ribosomal RNA
Source: RNAcentral
AAUAUUGCACAAUGGGCGCAAGCCUGAUGCAGCCAUGCCGCGUGUAUGAAGAAGGCCUUCGGGUUGUAAAGUACUUUCAGCAGUGAGGAAGGUGGGUAUGUUAAUAGCAUAUUCAUUUGACGUUUAGCUGCAGAAGAAGCACCGGCUAACUCCGUGCCAGCAGCCGCGGUAAUACGGAGGGUGCGAGCGUUAAUCGGAAUUACUGGGCGUAAAGCGCAUGCAGGUGGUUUGUUAAGUCAGAUGUGAAAGCCCGGGGCUCAACCUCGGAAUUGCAUUUGAAACUGGCAAACUAGAGUACUGUAGAGGGGGUAGAAUUUCAGGUGUAGCGGUGAAAUGCGUAGAGAUCUGAAGGAAUACCGGUGGCGAAGGCGGCCCCCUGGACAGAUACUGACACUCAGAUGCGAAAGCGUGGGGAGCAAACAGGAUUAGAUACCCUGGUAG